ACUCAAAUGAAUUGACGGGGGCCCGCACAAGCGGUGGAGCAUGUGGUUUAAUUCGAUGCAACGCGAACAACCUUACCUACCCUUGAAUCCUUGGAAUUUGGUAGAGAUAUCGAAGUGCCUUCGGGAACCAAGAGACAGGUGCUGCAUGGCUGUCGUCAGCUCGUGUCGUGAGAUGUUGGGUUAAGUCCCGUAACGAGCGCAACCCUUAUCCUUAGUUGCUAGCAGGUUAAGCUGAGAACUCUAGGGAGACUGCCGGUGAUAAACCGGAGGAAGGCAGGGACGACGUCAAGUCAUCAUGGCCCAUACGGGUAGGGCUACACACGUGCUACAAUGGCCGGUACAAAAGGCUGCGAAGUCGCGAGAUGGAGCUAAUCCUAUAAAGCCGGUCUUAGUCCGGAUUGGAGUCUGCAACUCGACUCCAUGAAGCUGGAAUCGCUAGUAAUCGUGGAUCAGCACGCCACGGUGAAUACGUUCCCGGGCCUUGUACACACCGCCCGU
Molecule: ribosomal RNA, 498 nt
Filed under: uncultured bacterium
Lineage: Bacteria
Description: partial 16S ribosomal RNA
Rfam family: Bacterial small subunit ribosomal RNA
Source: RNAcentral